RNAcentral lists this long non-coding RNA (5507 nucleotides) under Eucalyptus grandis. RNAcentral describes it as "long non-coding RNA (EGRA_LNC003367)". Lineage: Eukaryota; Viridiplantae; Streptophyta; Magnoliopsida; Myrtales; Myrtaceae. The record is from RNAcentral.
UUCUUGUAGGCAUGGAAUCAAUGGAGAGACGGCACACCUUUGAAAGUGUUGGACCCGGCUAUUGUGGAUUCAAAUUCAAGAGAUCAAGUGCUUCGAUGCCUACAUAUUUGCUUGCUAUGCAUUCAAGAAGAUCCAGCUGUUAGACCCACCAUGACAACCGUAGUUCUCUUGCUCAGCAGCAAUUCCAUUACACCACCAUCGCCCCAACAUCCAGCCUUUUUUGUCCAAAUGAAAGGGCCUGAAUCAGACCAAUCCACCAAGAGGAUUAUGCCUUUUUCGAUCAAUGACAUGUCGCUUACCGAAUUAUACCCCCGGUGAAUGGCGGCGUAAGCGACAUCUUUCUUCAUGGAUAGGCUUGUGGUAAAUUAAAUAUCAUUUCUUUACACCACUAAUGUACACAUUAAAAUCUAUUCACCAAAUUCCAUCGCCACAAACUCCUAGCGAUCCAGUCAUGAAAAUUAGUCCGAAAUACUAUUAUCGAGUAUGGAAAUUUCUAGAUGUCACAUAGCCACCGGCAAGAUAGGUGAAGACCUUACCAAAUGAAGAGUUUGGUCGCCUUGCCACGAGAUGUUAUCUUGACCAUGGUCAAUAUCUAAGCACAAGAUUGGCCAACGAAAUGGACCAUUGGUGUGUGAUUUUGAUGACAUUGAUCAAUGGAUAAGACUAUUGAUAUUUGUUUUGAUAUUAUUGUGAAAUGGAUAUUUCUGCUAUAAAUAUAGCUAUGUUGAAGCGUAUAUAACUCAUUUUCUUCUUAUAAGUAUGUUAUAUCAUGAAAUUCAAUAUAACAAGUUAUGUUUUGUGUCUUAAACAUGCAUAGCAAAUGUUCAAUCUGCUUAGAAGAGAUGCACACUACUCACUGAAAUAUGAUUACUCACGCCUUUCCUUCCUAAAAUUUUUGGUUUCCUUGGUUAGCGGCCAGUAGAGUAAAAGCGCUACAUGAAGACUUAUGGGAGUUGAUUUUUGUAUGGUUUGAGACUACAUCUUUUGGGUGGAAUGAUGGCUGUGUUAUUCCCCAUAUUUUUCGUCCUUCGGGUUGAAGGACAAUAAUUGCAAAUAUAUCUUCAAUCCGAGGCUUUCCAAGUACAAUUGUUUGAGACAUUUAACUAAAAUAUGGUACCACUAGUUUCCUCCAUCAAUGCUUGCCCCGAUACUACUUUUUUGGGGAGAGACGACAACAAUUCAAUAGAGACUAAGCCUAUUCAAAAUCAAUAUCUUCCUCAAAACUCAACUUAUUUAUAUCAAAUCAACCUUAGAUACGGCACACUCUCUACCUCUUUCUUUCUUUUUCUGCAAUAAAAUGCUGCUACUCUCCCUUCUCCACUGCUGAGAACAUUUGGCCCUCUUUUUAUUUCCUUUAUUUCGACUUUUGCUCUUUUUUUUUUAAGGGAAAAGAGCAUUAGAAGUCCUAAAACUUGUGACGAAAGUGUGAUUGAGUUCUAAAAUUUUUAAAAAGUGCAAUCAAGUCCUAAAAUUUUUCAUGAGAGUGCAAUUAAGCUUUAAAACUUUUUAAAAUGUCAUCAUGUCUUAAAAGUUGUCAAAUUAGUCCAUCUAAGUCAUUGUCUUGAUUGCACUUUUUGAAAAUUUUGACUCGAUUGUAUUUUUGUUAUAAAUUUUAGGAUGUUGAGUGCACUAAUUUCUUUUUUCAAAGAUGUGAUGGGACUAUGAGGCAUACUUAGCCCAUCACAGUGCAUACGUUAAAUGAGAUCCAACCUGUCCUUGACUUCAAUUUGCUCUGCAAGUCUUCUCUUGUGAACAAAACGAGGAAAAACUCCAAUUUAGUUGACUUGACUGACUUAUGGUACAAGCAACAUUUCUUGUAUAAUCAAAUGUCUUGUAGAGUCAACUACUAGGAGGUCGCAAUAGGGGCCCAAUAGGGGAUCAUCACCUUGCACACGCUCAAUGGGAUCCAAUGUGUCCUUGAUGUCAAUUUGCUUUACAAGUCUUCUCUUGCUAUCAAAACAAGGAAAAACUCACAAGUUAGUUGGCUUGACCGACUUAUGGUACGAGCAACCUAAGUGGCUUGUAUAAUCAAAGUUUUGUAGAAUUACCACAAGGGGUUGCAAUAGGGGCCCAAUAGGGGAAAAAGAAGGAUCCGCAAAAAGAAAGUCUUGUAAAUUUCCUUUGUUCCUCCGAUAAUAACUACAUCAUGUAUAUUAGGUGAAUUGCGUGUAGACUUGUGGUUUAUAAAAAUAGCCAUAGUUCUAACUAGACACACCCCUAUAUAAAUAUCUUAUGAAUAUCUCUUCUUAGCCAUCCAAUCAUCAAUACCUCCUCUUCUAAUUCACUAUUUAUAGACACACCCCCAUACAAAUAUCUUAGGAAUAUCUCUUCUUAGCCAUCCAAUCAUCAAUACGUAAAUUUUUCCCUCUUCUUAAGUUUUACCAAACAAUAACUACAACUCAUGCUGGCCCAAACAAUAACUGCAACUCAUGCUAGUCCCUAGUAUAUAACUAGAAAAUUUCUUACAACCUUUUUCUAGAAAACCUUUAUUUGACCAAGCACCUUCUACAUCAUAUAAACACCAUUUUACCAAACAAUAACUACAACUCAUGCUGGCCCCAGUAUAAAACUAGAAAAUUUCUUACAACCUUUUUCUAGAAAACCUUUAUUUGACCAGGCCCUUCUACAUCAUAUAAACACCAUUCACAUUGGAAGAUUAACUUUAGUUAUUGUCGCUUGUAUGGUUGGUCCAUCUUUUGAUCUAGUCUUCCCCUUACACACACUUGCAAACGGCGAGUGCGAACCAUCCUCCUCCUCGCAAAUUAGGUUUUCAAUUUAAUUUUUUAGUGAACAUUUGUCAUUGUCUUAUAAAACUUUAGGUAGAUUUCAUUUUAUAGUUGGUAUUUAAAAUAUGUCUUUUAUCUAGCCAUCUAUGUGAGUCUCCAAAUUUAGCGCAUGUUUGCCUUUCAAUUUAAGUGCAAAGAUUAAAUCCAAUGAUGUUAGGAUUUUUCAAUGCAAAAAUCGCUGAUCUUCUUAGAAAUGACUAAAUAUUUUGAAUUUAUCAAAAAAAAAAUUGAGGUCACGAGAUAAAAAUAGGGCUUAUUGAUCUAUUUAUCUAUUGUAGUGAAAAAAAAGGGGGUUUUAGACUUUUGACUAGACAAAAUAUUAAUCCAUCUACACAUUGCACUUUGAUUAUGCCAAUGUUACUUAGAUAUAGUGUCAAUUGAGAAACGUGUAUAUGAUGGAGAAGGGCAAAAAUACUAAAUAACUAACAAAAUUGGUAGUCAAAUACCCAACAACUCAGCAAAAUAUUUCGGGUGGAUUAAAGUCCAAUUUGUUCUUGUUUGCAAAUCAAUUCUAAAUAUUUUAAGUAGUAAGUAUAUUGGAAGUCCUAAAGCUUGUUAUAAAAAUAUAAGUAAGUCCUAAAACUUGUCAUACAAGUGUAAUUGAGUCCCAAAAUCAUCAAAAAAAUAUAAUCAAAUCCUAAGACUUGUCAAAUUUGUCCCAUAAAAUCCUUAUGUUGAUUUCAUUUUUCUGAAAGUUUUAGAGCUUGAUUGUACUUUUUUGAAAGUUGUAGGAGACAUUUGCACUUUUCGCAAUAAGUUUUAUAACUUAAUUGUACUUUUUGAAAAUUUUAAGACUUAGUUGUACUUUCAUAAUAAAUUUUAUGACUCAAUUGCACUUUCAUAAUAAGUUUUAGGACUUCCAAUGNNNNNNNNNNNNNNNNNNNNNNNNNNNNNNNNNNNNNNNNNNNNNNNNNNNNNNNNNNNNNNNNNNNNNNNNNNNNNNNNNNNNNNNNNNNNNNNNNNNNCUUGGAUUUUGCUUGGAGGGAGCGGAAAAGCUACUAGUCUACGAGUUUGUGCCAAAUAAAAGCCUUGAUUACUUCUUAUUUGGUAUGUUGCAAUUUAACCUUCUUUUUUGCACCAUGUACAACUUGAAAUUAAGAGGUUUUGUUCUUUCAACUAACUAUACUUUUUCUUGUAAGCUACAUCAGAUGCAUGAGAAUAAAUAUAUUUUUGUAUCAUGUGACCAACUUCACCCUAAUUUUUUGAAGAGAUUCUUCAUGCAAGCACAUUAAUGAAUUUGGGGUACAACAAUGCAGAUCCCGAAAAAAGAAGACAAUUGGAUUGGCCAUUACGUUAUAAAAUAGUAUUCAGGAUUGCUCGAGGAAUGCUUUAUCUACAUGAAGAUUCUCAUCUCCGAAUUAUCCAUCGUGACCUAAAAUGUGGCAAUAUCUUGUUAGACAGUGAAAUGAACCCAAAAAUUACAGAUUUUGGCAUGGCAAGGAUUUUCGGGGUCGAUCAAACUCAGGCUAGCACAAAUAAAAUCGUGGGGACUUUGUAAGUUAGUUUUGAAUAGAUGACUUUGUAAUUGGAUGCCAGACUUGCUCAUUUUAUCUAUUUAUGGAUGCUCACUAAUCUGCAUCUAGAUAUGCUAUAUAUAUAUGGCUAAUGUUCGAAUUUGCAAUGGUUACAUGUCUCCAGAAUUUGCAAUGCAUGGAGAGUUCUCGGUGAAAUCGGAUGUUUAUAGUUUCGGCAUACUACUUCUAGAGAUCAUUUGCGGCAAGAAAAGUAACUUAUACCAGGAUGAAUAUCUUGCUGGUUAUGUAAGUUUCACCAUGCUACCAAGACAAUUUUUUACAUUGUAUAUUAGUAAUUUUCCCCAAGUGAAAUUGAAAUUCAUGUAAAACUUAGUCUUUUGGCCUACAUAAACACUUGUCAAUUAUCCUAUUCCUUGGUCAUAUAUGGUUUUUUUUUUUUUUUUGGAAGAUUUUAGAUGUCUUGCAUGAUAAGUCAUUGAAUUAAUGCUGCAAUUUUGUGAAGAUUUUCUGGAAUUAUUCUUGUAGGCAUGGAAUCAAUGGAGAGACGGCACACCUUUGAAAGUGUUGGACCCGGCUAUUGUGGAUUCAAAUUCAAGAGAUCAAGUGCUUCGAUGCCUACAUAUUUGCUUGCUAUGCAUUCAAGAAGAUCCAGCUGUUAGACCCACCAUGACAACCGUAGUUCUCUUGCUCAGCAGCAAUUCCAUUACACCACCAUCGCCCCAACAUCCAGCCUUUUUUGUCCAAAAGAAAGGGCUUGAAUCAGACCAAUCCACCAGGAGGAUUAUGCCUUUGUGGAUCAAUGACAUGUCGCUUACCGAAUUAUACCCCCGGUGAAUGGCGGCGUAAGCGACAUCUUUCUUCAUGGAUAGGCUUGUGGUAAAUUAAAUAUCAUUUCUUUACACCACUAAUGUACACAUUAAAAUCUAUUCACCAAAUUCCAUCGCCACAAACUCCUAGCGAUCCAGUCAUGAAAAUUAGUCCGAAAUACUAUUAUCGAGUAUGGAAAUUUCUAGAUGUCACAUAGCCACCGGCAAGAUAGGUGAAGACCUUACCAAAUGAAGAGUUUGGUCGCCUUGCCACGAGAUGUUAUCUUGACCAUGGUCAAUAUCUAAGCACAAGAUUGGCCAACGAAAUGGACCAUUGGUGUGUGAUUUUGAUGACAUUGAUCAAUGGAUAAGACUAUUGAUAUUUGUUUUGAUAUUAUUGUGAAAUGGAUAUUUCUGCUAUAAAUAUAGCUAUGUUGAAG